GCUUUGAGAAGCUUAUUACAAGCAUCGGUCUUGUAAACCGAAAACAAGACAAAUCUCUCCAAAGCU
This 66-nucleotide transfer RNA is filed under the name Toxolasma parvum (lilliput). RNAcentral's name for it is "Toxolasma parvus (lilliput) tRNA-Thr". Lineage: Eukaryota; Metazoa; Mollusca; Bivalvia; Unionida; Unionidae. The record is from RNAcentral.